GUUCCGCCCUCACCUCGGGGGCGACCUGGCGGGUUCCUUGCACGCAGCGGGCCCUGAAUUGGCCGCGGGCGGCUCUGGGUUUGGGCAGCGUCUGCUUCGCCCAGGGCCCACCAGUAGGCCCGGAGCCUUUCGGACGCUCAACCCGGGGGAUCUGCGGCUGAGGGCCCCGGGCCGUUCCUCGCUCCGCGUUCCGAUAUUUCCAAACAUUCCAUCUGGCUUUUGAGCAGUGAUCUGAUCACUCCAGUCACUCCAGAAUGUGGAGACAAAGCAGCGAGAGUCGGCAGAAGAGAGGGAAUAUGGCAACAGUGCUAAUCCAGAGCACAGUGUUUGGAAUCACUAUGGCAUACAACCAAGAGCAUUUGUGGCUGUCCAAUGAGAACCUGAUUGUGAAGCUUCAGGCUUGCUGUUGAGGCUGUCUUGUUUGUCAGGAAUUUGACUCCAGAGUGAGUUUUUUGAAGAAGGAAGUUCCAGCAGUCAGUCACAUCCAGGAUGUCAUUUCUCACAGCAAAAAGCUUUUUAAGGAGAACAAGAAGCAGCUCUGACAUGAUGACGCUGAACAAGCAAAAAGGAGAAUUGAAAGCUUUGAGCAAAGAGAAGGGGGGGGAACAAAGCUGGAAGCCUGUCAACAUCUUUUCUACUUCCUUCAGACUAGCCCAGGGUAGUUGGGCAAGCUGAAUUUUUCAGAUGCCUAAAAGCAAAUGCACAGAGCUCAUGGAUUUGGUCAUCUUCACGCUGUGUAACUGUGUGUCCAGACGAAGAGAGGAAUAUCUGCUGUGUCAGCUUUCCCAAACAGCGCUUCUGGAGGAGAUCGGAUCUGAGCUGUGCUCUGGAACAGAAUGUACAGCUGGAUCUAGAACAGUUGCCAAAGAGGAGUCUGCAGACAAACGGUGCUGGAUUUCCCAGAGGGAGGUCAUCGAGUUCCUUGCCUUCUCGCAAAGUGUUCUUGUAUUUUUCUUAAAUAGCAUUGCAUGUUACUGCUGUACCGAGACUUUUAUGACAACUCCAUUAUCUGUUUCCCAAAGGUGAUGCUGAGAAACACGUCUCAUGCAUACCUCACGUUUCGUAUUAAUUCUUCCGUUGGGUCAAAAGCAGACCAAAUCCUUGAAAUGAGGCUGAAAUAAAGCUGAAUAACUGUCUCACUGUUAUUAAAA
Long non-coding RNA from Lagopus leucura (white-tailed ptarmigan), 1151 nucleotides. RefSeq lists it as uncharacterized. The record is from RefSeq and is a predicted model, not a curated record. Lineage: Eukaryota; Metazoa; Chordata; Aves; Galliformes; Phasianidae. The transcript is spliced from 6 exons.